This 274-nucleotide ribosomal RNA is filed under the name uncultured bacterium. Its description in RNAcentral is "partial 16S ribosomal RNA". It matches the Rfam family "Bacterial small subunit ribosomal RNA", at positions 523 to 796 of the family's 1533-position model. The record is from RNAcentral.
AUACGGAGGGUGCAAGCGUUAAUCGGAAUUACUGGGCGUAAAGCGUACGUAGGCGGUCCGUUAAGUUAGAUGUGAAAGCCCCGGGCUUAACCUGGGAACUGCAUUUAAAACUGGCGGACUCGAGUUGAGUAGAGGGGAGUGGAAUUUCAGGUGUAGCGGUGAAAUGCGUAGAGAUCUGAAGGAACACCAGUGGCGAAGGCGACUCCCUGGACUCGAACUGACGCUGAGGUACGAAAGCGUGAGUAGCAAACGGGAUUAGAAACCCUUGUAGUCC